This 279-nucleotide ribosomal RNA is filed under the name Triticum aestivum (bread wheat). Its description in RNAcentral is "partial small subunit ribosomal RNA". Lineage: Eukaryota; Viridiplantae; Streptophyta; Magnoliopsida; Poales; Poaceae. The record is from RNAcentral.
AUGCCCAUGACCACCGACGGCUACUCAGAGAAGGAGCGGGUGCAGGUGUCACUCAUCCAGCGGUUCCUCGCAGGGGGGUUUAGCCUCAGCGGCGAACACCACCACCUGACCCAGCAGUCGUUGCCGUCAUGCUGCGCGGUGGACUCGUACAUCGUUGACACCAUGAAGGAUCUCCAUCAGCUGCAACGACGACUACAUAUAGUGAAUGAUGAGGAUGUUAAAGAAUAUCGAGUCAUAGAUAUAGCAUUAGAAAGGAGAUACGAAUGGUGCAUAUACUGA